CAACCCAACCAGGGUCAACCAAACCAAACCCAACCCAACGAAAAGUCAACUAAGGUCAACCCAACCCAACCCAACCCAAAGGUUAACCAAGGUCAACCAAACCCAACCCAACCCAAGAUCAACCCAACUCAAAGGUCAACCCAAGUCAACCCAACCAACAUCAACCCAACCCAACCCAACUCAAAGUCAACCCAACCCAACCCAGCCCAAGGUCAACCCAACCCAACCCAACUCAAAGUCAACCCAACCCAAGGUCAACCCAACCUGACCCAAAGUCAACCAAACUCAACCCAACCCAAUCCAAGGUCAACCAAACCCAAACCCAACCCAAGGUCAAUCCAACCCAACUCAAAGUCAACCCAACCCAACUCAAAGUCAAUCCAACCCAACUCAAGAUCAACCCAACCAAAAGUCAACCAAGGUCAACUCAACCCAACCCAACCCAACUCAGUCAACCAAACCCAACCCAACCCAACCAAAGGUCAACCAAGGCCAACCCAACCCAACCCAACUCAAAGUCAACCCAACCCAAGGUCAACCCAACCUGACCCAAGGUCAACGAAACCCAACUCAAGGUCAGCCAAGAUCAACCCAGUCCAAGCCAAAGCUCAACCAAACUCAACCCCACCCAACCCAAGGUUCACCCAACUCAAUCUGAAGUCUGUCAAGGUCAACCCAAAUCAAAGUCAGCCAAGGUCAACCCAACCCAAGGUCAACCAAGGUCAAGCCAACCCAACUCAAAGUCAACCCAACUCAAGUCAAGGUCAACCAAAUCUAACUCAAGGUCAGCCAAGGUCAACUCAACCCAACCCAACCCAACUGAAGAUCAACUCAACCCAACAUCAACCAAGGUCAACCCAACACAAAGUCAACCCAACUCAAGGUCAACCAAGAUCAACUCAACCCAACUCAUGGUCAACCCAAGUCAAUGAAAAGCCAAACUCAACUCAAGGUCAACUCAACCCAACCCUUGGUCAACCCAACCAAUGGUCAGCAAAGGCCAAACCAACCCAACGACCAACACGAGUCAAGACCGGACAAUCGAUGGUCAAAGACCAACCCAGUGGUCACCU
RNAcentral lists this long non-coding RNA (1073 nucleotides) under Serinus canaria (Common canary). Its description in RNAcentral is "lncRNA (ENSSCAG00000001747.1)". Lineage: Eukaryota; Metazoa; Chordata; Aves; Passeriformes; Fringillidae. The record is from RNAcentral.